GCAAAGGAUCUGAGGUGCUGUGCUGGUUGUGCUGACCUUGAGGAGCUCCUGUCUAGGAAGCAACUGUGUGUUUGCUGAGCAAGUGCACACCUCGCUGCAAUAGGAAUUUGGCUCAAGACUCACCUCAAACAGGAAAAAUCCAAAUCAGAUGCUCAGUAAGAAGUGAGAGUUCACAGUCAGGCAUUAAAUAGAGAAGGGCUGAUCAUUCACCACUGAUUGAGGAGGAAUAUGGGAAGGACAGAAGUGGGGCAYGGAGUGUGUGCUGGGAGGAUCCGAAGAAGGGAAAUCGGCUUCCAAGACAUGAAGACUCGGAGAUGAGCGUCCCUGGUGUUAACCUGGGCAACUGGCUCAUCCGCUCUGCUGCUGAAUGCCAGAGUAUCUUUAGGUCCAAAUGAAAGCUGUUUUUAAUAGCUGGGAGAAAUGUGUAGAUCUCAACAAGUAGGGCAUGGCCUUGCAGACAAGCCCUGACUCUUUGCUGAAGCUUUUGUGAUGAYUGAUGAACAAGCUACCAAGUCUCAUAUGAGUCUUGUGGCAAAUAUGGAAGUGAUAUUAAAAAGUUAAAGAAGAGGUUAAUUAAAGCGUGUUCCCAUCUCAACAUACAAUCACUGGAACAUGUUUUCCUUGUACUUACAGAAUUUCUUAGGCUAAUGAUUAUCUUCAUUUAAAAACUCUGCUCUUUUUGUUGAAGUAGACAGUUUCAUAGCAAUCUUCAUUUUUGAAAUGUAAUUUCUUCAGUAGCCAUCACAAUUAAAAUGCUCAUUACAUUAGAAAACUCAGAAUGGUAACUUUCUCUUUUUUUUCCCCCACUCAUGUGGUUUGGGUUUUACAUGUGCU
Nothoprocta perdicaria is the source of this 834-nucleotide long non-coding RNA. RefSeq lists it as uncharacterized. The transcript is spliced from 6 exons. NCBI's taxonomy places the organism in Eukaryota, Metazoa, Chordata, Aves, Tinamiformes, Tinamidae. The record is from RefSeq and is a predicted model, not a curated record.